Molecule: microRNA, 20 nt
Filed under: Solanum tuberosum (potato)
Lineage: Eukaryota; Viridiplantae; Streptophyta; Magnoliopsida; Solanales; Solanaceae
Description: stu-miR167d-3p
Gene: stu-miR167d-3p
Source: miRBase by way of RNAcentral
GAUCAUGUGGUUGCUUCACC